RNAcentral lists this ribosomal RNA (482 nucleotides) under uncultured bacterium. Its description in RNAcentral is "partial 16S ribosomal RNA". It matches the Rfam family "Bacterial small subunit ribosomal RNA", at positions 30 to 507 of the family's 1533-position model. The record is from RNAcentral.
AUUGAACGCUGGCGGCAUGCCUUACACAUGCAAGUCGAACGGUAACAGGUCUUCGGAUGCUGACGAGUGGCGAACGGGUGCGUAAUACAUCGGAACGUGCCCGAUCGUGGGGGAUAACGAGGCGAAAGCUUUGCUAAUACCGCAUACGAUCUACGGAUGAAAGCGGGGGAUCUUCGGACCUCGCGCGGACGGAGCGGCCGAUGGCAGAUUAGGUAGUUGGUGGGAUAAAAGCUUACCAAGCCGACGAUCUGUAGCUGGUCUGAGAGGAUGAUCAGCCACACUGGGACUGAGACACGGCCCAGACUCCUACGGGAGGCAGCAGUGGGGAAUUUUGGACAAUGGGCGAAAGCCUGAUCCAGCCAUGCCGCGUGCAGGAUGAAGGCCUUCGGGUUGUAAACUGCUUUUGUACGGAAAGAAAAGCCUCUUUCUAAUAAAGAGGGGUCAUGACGGUACCGUAAGAAUAAGCACCGGCUAACUACGUG